UACCUUUGAAAAGCAUGGAAACAUGUACAAAAUGGGCAGCAUAAGUAUCCCUUCUCAUCAAAGCUCAGUAAGGAACCCAAGCAUUUCUCAUGAAAAAACAAUGAGCAACCAACAGCACUACAUACCAACACCUGACCAUCUUUGCUGCACUUAAAACAACAAUUUGGCUUUGUCUGGUCAGCUACUGCUGCAAAAUAAGAGCUCAGAAAACGACUCUUCUUCAUGCUAUCAACCUUUUUGUGAUGAUAUUGUUUGACAUCACUUGAUGUACCUUGUUUGCAAAGAUGCUCCAAGCCACCUGCUUUGUCAUCAAUAACAUUCCUCUGAGAUCCACUAAAGGAUCCACUAUUUGGUAUUUUUAGUUGCAUCCACUGUUCACCAUCAUCUUUGGCUCCAUCAAAGGUGACUUUCAGCUGCAUUUUCUUGAAGGGUGCCUUUUUCAAUUGCCUAUGUUCA
This 456-nucleotide unclassified non-coding RNA is filed under the name Hevea brasiliensis (rubber tree). The record is from RNAcentral. Lineage: Eukaryota; Viridiplantae; Streptophyta; Magnoliopsida; Malpighiales; Euphorbiaceae.